GAGUUUGAUCGUGGCUCAGGAUGAACGCUAGCGGCAGGCUUAACACAUGCAAGUCGAGGGGCAGCGCGGGUAGCAAUACCUGGCGGCGACCGGCAAACGGGUGCGGAACACGUACAGAAUCUGCCCUUGUCUGGGGUAUAGCCCGGAGAAAUCCGGAUUAACCCCCCAUAAGAUAUUAGAGUGGCAUCACUCAGAUAUUAAAACUCAGGUGGACAAGGAUGACUGUGCGUCCCAUUAGCUAGUUGGUAGGGUAACGGCCUACCAAGGCGACGAUGGGUAGGCUGGUGUGAGAGCACGACCAGCCACACGGGCACUGAGACACGGGCCCGACUCUACGGGAGGCAGCAGUGAGGAAUAUUGGACAAUGGGGGCAACCCUGAUCCAGCAAUGCCGCGUGUGUGAAGAAGGCC
This 410-nucleotide ribosomal RNA is filed under the name uncultured Sphingobacterium sp. RNAcentral's name for it is "bacterial SSU rRNA". It matches the Rfam family "Bacterial small subunit ribosomal RNA", at positions 9 to 416 of the family's 1533-position model. The record is from RNAcentral. Lineage: Bacteria; Pseudomonadati; Bacteroidota; Sphingobacteriia; Sphingobacteriales; Sphingobacteriaceae.